RNAcentral lists this long non-coding RNA (1547 nucleotides) under Homo sapiens (human). RNAcentral's name for it is "HSALNT0061729". Lineage: Eukaryota; Metazoa; Chordata; Mammalia; Primates; Hominidae. The record is from RNAcentral.
CAAGGAUUGGGAUAUAAACCCAGGCAUUCGAGCCGGCAAUGGCAACCCCCUUUGGGUCCCCUCCCCUUGUAUGGGAGCUCUGUUUUCACUCUAUUAAAUCUUGCAACUGCACUCUUCUGGUCCAUGUUUGUUACGGCUGGAGCUGAGCUUUCGCUCGCCCUCCACCACUGCUGUUUUGCGGCCGUGGCAGACUCGCCACUGACUUCCAUUCUUCCGCAUCCGGCAGGGUGUCCCCUGUGCUCCUGAUCUAGCAAGGCACCCACUGCCAUUCCGGAUCGGGCUAAAUUAGGCUCGCCAUUGUUCCUGCAUGGCUAAGUGCCUGGGUUCGUCCUAAUCGAGCUGAACACUAGUCACUGGGUUCCACGGUUCUCUUCCGUGACCCACGGCUUCUAAUAGAGCUAUAACACUCACCCCAUGGCCCAAGAUUCCAUUCCUUGGAAUCCGUGAGGCCAAGAACCCCAGGUCAGAGAACACGAGGCUUGUCACCAUCUUGGAAGCAGUCCACCGCCAUCUUGGAAGCUGUGUGAGAAAGGACCCCCGGUAAUGAUGCUAUGUUCUCAUAAUUCUAUUAAGACACCCAUGACUUUGAAUUUUCCCAUUAUUGGAGUUCUUAACUUUGAUCAUUUGAUUCAAGAGGGUACCUGCCAGGAAGUUUUACUCAGUGGUUGUUCUUUUGUCCAUUAUCAAUAAGUAUUUUGUGAGGAAAUACUUAGAGACGUGUAAAUAUUUUGUUCCUCUUUAAAUCUGCACCCACUUUUAGCAUCCCCUGAUAUUUCUUGGCUGAAUUUAUUAUUGUUACAAUUGCUAUCCAAUUGUGAUUUUCCUGCUUCUAUUAUUCUUCCACAUUUGUUGACAUUAUAUGAAGGAACACUAUCUCUUCUUUGUUUCUUUCUUUAUGCUAGUAUAGACAGAUGGAUUAUUUUAUUUCAUUGAUUAAAAUUUAUUAUUAUGAAUCGUUCAUGAAAUUGUCCCAAAUUUGGUCAGUGGGAAUCUCUUCAAGCUGGCUUUUGUGUCCUUUUGACAUUGAGAGGAGGUGCCAGUGGGCUUCCUGGGUCUAGUAGGGGCUCAGAAAGCUGUGAAACUCACUCAUUUCCUGCAUCAGGACUUAACUUUGGUCCUGAAUGAGUAAUAUUGAAGAUAAGUGCUUAAAAUAUUCCUAACAUCAGAAUUUGUGCAUGUGUUUUCUUCCGCAAGAAAGCUAUAAACAGGGAAAAUUUUGCUGCAAGCUUCCCUGUGUCCUCUCUCCCUCUCUCCCUUCCCCCUCCUCUGAAACUAAAAGGACUGCUAAAAGCCCAUUUUUCUGUGACCAGCAGACCGUAUCUACGCUCCCAAUUCCAAUUCUUUGUAAACACAAUUUGUAAAAUCCUGUGAGAUCCUGUCUCCUUUGCCAUGCCGCUGCAAGGUCAUAAAGUAGAUAAAACUUGAGUUACAAUUCCGGUUUUCCUCAAGAUCUGAGACGUGUUAAUUGUCUUUGUUUCUCGCUCUGGUAGCAUCUUCCUACCGCACGUAUUUCCCGCCUUAAAUAAAAGGUGAUAGAAAAAUCUAAC